ACGGGUGAGUAAUAUAUUGGAACGUACCUUUGAGUGGGGGAUAACUAGUCGAAAGAUUAGCUAAUACCGCAUACGAUCUACGGAUGAAAGUGGGGGCUCGCAAGACCUCAUGCUCAUAGAGCGGCCGAUAUCUGAUUAGCUAGUUGGUGAGGUAAAGGCUCACCAAGGCAUCGAUCAGUAGCUGGUCUGAGAGGACGACCAGCCACACUGGGACUGAGACACGGCCCAGACUCCUACGGGAGGCAGCAGUGGGGAAUUUUGGACAAUGGGGGCAACCCUGAUCCAGCAAUGCCGCGUGAGUGAAGAAGGCCUUCGGGUUGUAAAGCUCUUUUGUCAGGGAAGAAACGGGAUGUUCUAAUACAGCGUCCUAAUGACGGUACCUGAAGAAUAAGCACCGGCUAACUACGUGCCAGCAGCCGCGGUAAUACGUAGGGUGCAAGCGUUAAUCGGAAUUACUGGGCGUAAAGCGUGCGCAGGCGGUUGUGUAAGACAGGUGUGAAAUCCCCGGGCUUAACCUGGGAAUGGCAUUUGUGACUGCACGGCUAGAGUGUGUCAGAGGGGGGUAGAAUUCCACGUGUAGCAGUG
RNAcentral lists this ribosomal RNA (585 nucleotides) under uncultured bacterium. RNAcentral describes it as "bacterial SSU rRNA". It matches the Rfam family "Bacterial small subunit ribosomal RNA", at positions 102 to 683 of the family's 1533-position model. The record is from RNAcentral.